RNAcentral lists this ribosomal RNA (295 nucleotides) under uncultured bacterium. RNAcentral's name for it is "partial 16S ribosomal RNA". It matches the Rfam family "Bacterial small subunit ribosomal RNA", at positions 29 to 334 of the family's 1533-position model. The record is from RNAcentral.
AACGAACGCUGGCGGCGCGCUUAACACAUGCAAGUCGAACGAACGGACGGGCUUCGGCCCGCGAGUGAGUGGCGCACGGGUGAGUAACGCGUGGGGGAUCUGCCCUGAGGUCUGGGACAACCGCUGGAAACGGCGGCUAAUACCGGAUGAUGCCCCUUCGGGGGCCAAAGAUUUAUCGCCUUGGGAUGAGCCCGCGUCCGAUUAGCUAGUUGGUGAGGUAACGGCUCACCAAGGCACCGAUCGGUAGCUGGUCUGAGAGGACGAUCAGCCACACUGGGACUGAGACACGGCCCAG